Molecule: ribosomal RNA, 349 nt
Filed under: uncultured eukaryote
Lineage: Eukaryota
Description: SSU rRNA
Rfam family: Eukaryotic small subunit ribosomal RNA
Source: RNAcentral
AGCUCCAAUAGCGUAUAUUAAAGUUGUUGCAGUUAAAAAGCUCGUAGUUGAAUUUCGGGGCCGUGGAAAGGUCUAGUCAAAAGCUAGACUUUUCUGUUGUCCUUACUGUCUGGCGCAAGUCAGACCUUUUACUGUGAAGAAAUUAGAGUGUUUAAAGCAGGCGUUAAUUGCUUGAAUACAUUAGCAUGGAAUAAUAAAAUAGGACUUGAGUUCUAUUUUGUUGGUUUCUAGGACUUGAGUAAUGAUGAAUAGGGACAGUUGGGGGCAUUUGUAUCCAAUAGUCAGAGGUGAAAUUCUUGGAUUUAUUGGAGACAAACUACUGCGAAAGCAUUUGCCAAGGAUGUUCUCA